This 454-nucleotide ribosomal RNA is filed under the name uncultured Prevotella sp. RNAcentral's name for it is "partial 16S ribosomal RNA". It matches the Rfam family "Bacterial small subunit ribosomal RNA", at positions 341 to 792 of the family's 1533-position model. Lineage: Bacteria; Pseudomonadati; Bacteroidota; Bacteroidia; Bacteroidales; Prevotellaceae. The record is from RNAcentral.
ACGGGAGGCAGCAGUGAGGAAUAUUGGUCAAUGGGCGAGAGCCUGAACCAGCCAAGUCGCGUGAAGGAUGAAGGUUCUAUGGAUUGUAAACUUCUUUUGUUCGAGGGUAAAGUGAGGGAUGCGUCCCUUAUUGCAAGUAUCGAACGAAUAAGCAUCGGCUAACUCCGUGCCAGCAGCCGCGGUAAUACGGAGGAUGCGAGCGUUAUCCGGAUUUAUUGGGUUUAAAGGGAGCGUAGGCCGUGCUUUAAGCGUGUUGUGAAAUGUAGGCGCCCAACGUCUGCACUGCAGCGCGAACUGGAGCACUUGAGUACGCAGGAAGUAGGCGGAAUUCGUCGUGUAGCGGUGAAAUGCUUAGAUAUGACGAAGAACUCCGAUUGGGAAGCCAGCUUACUGUAGCGCCACUGACGCUGAUGCUCGAAAGCGUGGGUAUCGAACAGGAUUAGAUACCCUGGUA